CUGACUCCACCUCUUUCCCCGGGGCCGCUCAGCAUUGCUCACCGGUCAGAGUACACACCCGAACGUGCACCUGCACCACAACACCUACGGACCAGGUGGAGGGCCGGCACGGCUGGGAAGAUCACUGCCGCCCCGAAUCUGUUCGUCCUAUGUCAGCAACAAUCGUCUCCCACUGAUUCAGCGGCUAGAGGAAAAUCCUGCAGUACUGGACUCCCGCGGUUAAACCUUUCCCAAUUGCGAGCCGGCUCUUCAGCCCAGAACAAAAGGGCACGGCCUGUCCCAGCGCGCCCCGACACCCCUGCCCCGCACCGCCGGGAUCGCACUCCGCCCCACACCACCGCCUUCUCCCGGCGGUUCCCCCGGCGGCCGGGCCGCCCCAGCCGGGAAGGGCCCCGCUGUGGGAGCGCGCUCGGGGUCGGCGCGGACUCGUCCCGCCGCCGGGGCCCAGCGCCCGCGGCGCUCCCCGCCCGCCAGCCAGGCGCCGCCGCGCAUCCAACAGGAAAUAGCUGAAGCAAAUUCCCAAGGCAGCAGUCCGAAAUCGGGGGGAAGGGCCAACUGCUCGGCCAUGGUGUGGAGGACGCGGCACUGCAGGGCACAGCAGCCCCAGGGACCAACGGUGCCGGCUCUCUCCCUGGUACACACCAGGUCAGCCGCAACGCUCCAGGAACCUUCAGCUUUCAUCAGCACCUGAUUGAUCCCGGAGUACCCGAAUCCGGCGGCUUCAUGGCCCUCGUCCCGCAGCAGCUGUGCUGAGCCCAGGAGGAGCUCAUCCUCACGGGAGUUCUCCUACAUCACAGCACAACGUUCUGCCAGAGCUGCUCUGCUGGCCAUUGCCACGAAAACACUACUACUGCAGAUUUUUUAUUUGCUAAUUGCUAGAUGUAACUAAGUCUCAGAUAUUUUUUUAAUCUAUCUACACAUACAGAAGGCGGAAUGUGACAUUUUUUAUGCCCGCACACUUCAUUGCCAGAGUCUACAAGCACUCAUCAGAAGAGGCAGGAAGGAAAAGCUGAGAUCACAGCAGGAAGGAGGGGGAAGAUUUCAAGGUGUGGAGACACACAAAAAGAAACUCAGGGGAGGGUGACCUGAUAAAGAGCAGGGUGAUAUAGUACCUCCCUUUCAGCUCCCUCCCCCGCCUUGCAUAAGAAUAGUUCUGGGGAGGGUGGGCAAUGCCUGCAGGUUGGGGAGGAGGACUGGCCAAGAACGAGAACGAAGAUUAAAGCCCAUAAAACAAGAUGAGGAAUAUGGCAGGGGAAUGAAAGAGGACUGCAGGCACGCAAACACACAGAGAUGGAGGUGGAUCCCUAAAAUAAGGGAGAAGGAUCAUGGGAAAGAAAAGUAGUUAUUCUGGUGUUGGGAGAAAGAUGGGGAACAAAAAAAAAAUAAAAGGGCAAAAUAAUAAUAAUAAGCACAGAAAGUUCCAGCAAAGAUGGCAGCACCUUUUUUGUAUUGUCUUACACUGGGUAAGAAAAUGCCAUCAAUCCAUACACUGAAUUUGACAAGGAAGGAGACUGUUAACAA
Columba livia (rock pigeon) is the source of this 1521-nucleotide long non-coding RNA. RefSeq lists it as uncharacterized. The transcript has 2 exons. NCBI's taxonomy places the organism in Eukaryota, Metazoa, Chordata, Aves, Columbiformes, Columbidae. The record is from RefSeq and is a predicted model, not a curated record.